AUGGAAGUAAGAAAAAAGUAAGACACUUUAGUUCACAUUGCUCCAGUUCACUCUGCUGUAGAAAUGAGUCGCGACGUUACAGGUGCCAAGAUAUAUCGGCAUUUGCCUUUCCCUUGGAUUACACUGGUGGCGUGGAGAGGGGAGGCCGGUAUGCAUGGGGCGACUGCUGGUCUUCCAUAAACAAUA
Octopus sinensis (East Asian common octopus) is the source of this 186-nucleotide long non-coding RNA. RefSeq lists it as uncharacterized. The record is from RefSeq and is a predicted model, not a curated record. The transcript is spliced from 3 exons. Lineage: Eukaryota; Metazoa; Mollusca; Cephalopoda; Octopoda; Octopodidae.